UACAGAGGGGGCGAGCGUUAUUCGGAAUUAUUGGGCGUAAAGGGCGCGUAGGCGGCCUUUCAAGUGACGGGUGAAAUCCCUCGGCUUAACCGAGGAACUGCCUGUCAGACUGGAAGGCUUGAGACCGGGGAGAGGUGAGUGGAAUUCCCAGUGUAGCGGUGAAAUGCGUAGAUAUUGGGAGGAACACCAGUGGCGAAGGCGGCUCACUGGACCGGAACUGACGCUGAGGCGCGAAAGCGUGGGGAGCAAACAGG
RNAcentral lists this ribosomal RNA (254 nucleotides) under uncultured bacterium. RNAcentral's name for it is "partial 16S ribosomal RNA". It matches the Rfam family "Bacterial small subunit ribosomal RNA", at positions 524 to 776 of the family's 1533-position model. The record is from RNAcentral.